Oryzias melastigma (Indian medaka) is the source of this 403-nucleotide long non-coding RNA. RefSeq lists it as uncharacterized. The transcript has 2 exons. The record is from RefSeq and is a predicted model, not a curated record. Lineage: Eukaryota; Metazoa; Chordata; Actinopteri; Beloniformes; Adrianichthyidae.
UCAGAAUUGACGCGGAUCGCUCGUGGCUCCUGCAAAAAAAGACCAGACGGCGAAACGAUCCGCUGCAUGGCGCGAGCCUACCUCGGUGGACCGCGGCGGUCCGCACCUGGUGUGAACCAUGCCACAGGUUAACCAUGGCGCUGAAUGGAAGCGGCGUCCGUUUCCUUUACAGCACUUCCGCGUCCAGUGAAAACCAGGCAUUACAUCACUCCAGCAAAUGCACAACAGAACAGAGGAGAAUGAGGCGUGCACACGCAGAGAGAAGAAAGAAGGGGCUGAUAUCUGAGUCAAGGAAGGAAGGAAGGGAGGAAGGGAGUGAGGAAGAGCUAAACUGGGAACAAUGUCUAAAAACAGGGAGAUGGAGAAAAGAACAAGACAGAGGCGUCAAAGAAAAAGGAAAAAA